RNAcentral lists this non-coding RNA (196 nucleotides) under Gemella haemolysans. RNAcentral describes it as "T-box sequence". It matches the Rfam family "T-box leader". Rfam says of the family: Uncharged tRNA acts as the effector for transcription antitermination of genes in the T-box leader family. The record is from RNAcentral. Lineage: Bacteria; Bacillati; Bacillota; Bacilli; Caryophanales; Gemellaceae.
CUAAAACCUUAGAAAAGAAUAGUAAUUUGGUAAAAAAUUUUUAGCGAGCUAACGUUGGUGUGAGGUUAGUAAUUUUUCUAGAUGAACGCACUUUUUAGGCAAUUAUUAAAUAAUUGGUAACUCUGCCUUAAAGAGAUUGAGUGGGUAUGCUAAAUACCAAGAAAAGUGGCAACGCGGAAUUGAUUUCGUCUUUUUA